UUAUUGUAAGGUGAUUUAAUUAAUUUGAAAAGUAAAUGUAAUCAUUAAAUUAAGAUAAUUUGGCGGUAUUUUGAAUAGUUAGAGGAACUUGUUAGGUAAAUGAUAAUCCACGAUAGGAUGGUCUUAUUAAUAAUUUUAUGUAUUGUUGUUUAAAGAUUACUUUAAGAGGAGUUAAUUAAUAAGUUUUAUUUAAUUAUAAUUCAAAUCAAAGUGUAGAUUUUUUAAGGUUAAAUGAGUUACAAUUAAUUAAAUUAUUGUAUUAGUAAUUUAAUAAUUAUUAUGAUAGAGGAUUUAAUAGUAAAUUUAUAAAAUUAUAUAAUUUGAAAUAUUAAAUAAAAUAUG
Molecule: ribosomal RNA, 342 nt
Filed under: Aphaenogaster senilis
Lineage: Eukaryota; Metazoa; Arthropoda; Insecta; Hymenoptera; Formicidae
Description: mitochondrial SSU rRNA
Source: RNAcentral